CUUCAGGGAGCCGAGCCAGAGCGGACGGUCCUCGGCGCGGUCCUGUCCGUAGGCGGCCAGGAGUGCCUGGGCCUC
RNAcentral lists this antisense RNA (75 nucleotides) under Streptomyces sp. Root264. RNAcentral's name for it is "ASpks TB sRNA". It matches the Rfam family "ASpks TB sRNA". Lineage: Bacteria; Bacillati; Actinomycetota; Actinomycetes; Kitasatosporales; Streptomycetaceae. The record is from Rfam by way of RNAcentral.